GAUCUUUCAACCUAUACGUGGAACAUUCUAACAUCUUCGUUUCUUGCAGGAAUCAUAUUUAGGUUUUUAUAAAAGCGAGGAUAAUAUAACAUGAUGUUUUGACACUCGAACUCCCUACCCCCAUUUUUCUCUAUCCCGUCACGAGCAAUCGAAUGACUUUUGGGAAAUGUAAAAGAAAUUUUCUAACCGGUUAGAGAGCUCAUUCAAGCUUGAGGCUUGUUCGGAAAAAUCCAAUCGCGCUCGCCUGACGCCCUAUCUUUCGCCUAGGUGGAGAGGAGGCCCAUUCGACAACCAUAAUAGGCUCUAUAACUGGAUCACGCACGCUAAGAACACAACGGAUUAGAGGGGACAAGAGGUUCCACUCAUCAAAGUGUGAGACGCAAAGCUUCUGCCUAGAAGCAAGCUACCCUCUUUGCCACUUUCAAAUCAAUAAUAACGAUGUCAUCGAUAUUCCAAUCCGAUCUUUUCUUUCUUCACCCCUACGUACGGCAGGCCCUUCUUCGACGAGUGCGCUUUCCCCAGCCUCCAAUCUAAUAAUGUAGAACAUAUUAAGACUGAUAGUAUUGCAAAUGACACUACGACUUUUGAAUUCAAGAAGUCAAAUAUACUAGUUGGAGAUAAGCAUCCAGUACUUCCUAGAAUUAUGAUCA
Molecule: long non-coding RNA, 650 nt
Filed under: Capsicum annuum
Lineage: Eukaryota; Viridiplantae; Streptophyta; Magnoliopsida; Solanales; Solanaceae
Description: long non-coding RNA (CANN_LNC012227)
Source: RNAcentral